GUCGUCCUGAAGCGGGAGAUCCAGUCGGAGGUCAGGAUAGGUCACGACCCCUGUGAGGACGCGCUGGCCGCUCUUCAUCUGGCUCAGUACUUCAUCAGGAAGGGACCCAGAAAGGUGGUUGAGGAUCAUCUGGAGGAUAUGUGGGAUCUGGAGUGUCCUGAGGACGAUGACUCUGAUCACGUGAUCUCGUCCAAACGUCACAGCAA
Long non-coding RNA from Cyprinus carpio (common carp), 206 nucleotides. RefSeq lists it as uncharacterized. Lineage: Eukaryota; Metazoa; Chordata; Actinopteri; Cypriniformes; Cyprinidae. The transcript has 3 exons. The record is from RefSeq and is a predicted model, not a curated record.